RNAcentral lists this unclassified non-coding RNA (430 nucleotides) under soil metagenome. RNAcentral's name for it is "partial contains 5.8S ribosomal RNA, internal transcribed spacer 2, and large subunit ribosomal RNA". The stretch from base 1 to 120 matches the Rfam family "5.8S ribosomal RNA", at positions 35 to 154 of the family's 154-position model. The record is from RNAcentral.
GAUGAAGAACGUAGCGAAAUGCGAUACGUAAUGUGAAUUGCAGAAUUCAGUGAAUCAUCGAAUCUUUAAACGCAUAUUGCGCUCUCUGGUAUUCCGGAGAGCAUGCUUGUUUGAGUAUCAGUAAACACCUCAACUUCCAUAUCUUUUUUGAAAUGGGAGUUGGACUUGAGUGAUCCCAACGCUUUCUUCCAAGAAAGUGGCGGGUUGCUUGAAAUGCAGGUGCAGCUGAACUUUUCUCUGAGCUAUAAGCAUAUCUAUUUAGUCUGCCUAAAAAACAGAUUAUUACCUUUGCUGCAGCUAACAUAAAGGAGACUAGUUCUUGUGCUGACUGAUGCAGGAUUCACAGAGACAGCUUCGGCUGACUUUGUAAACUCGAUCUCAAAUCAAGUAAGACUACCCGCUGAACUUAAGCAUAUCAAUAAGCGGAGGA